RNAcentral lists this ribosomal RNA (390 nucleotides) under uncultured bacterium. RNAcentral's name for it is "bacterial SSU rRNA". It matches the Rfam family "Bacterial small subunit ribosomal RNA", at positions 30 to 417 of the family's 1533-position model. The record is from RNAcentral.
AUUGAACGCUGGCGGCAUGCUUUACACAUGCAAGUCGAACGGCAGCACGGGCUUCGGCCUGGUGGCGAGUGGCGAACGGGUGAGUAAUGCAUCGGAACGUGCCCAUGUUGUGGGGGAUAACUACGCGAAAGCGUGGCUAAUACCGCAUACGCCCUGAGGGGGAAAGCGGGGGAUUCUUCGGAACCUCGCGCAAUUGGAGCGGCCGAUGUCAGAUUAGCUUGUUGGUGAGGUAAAGGCUCACCAAGGCGACGAUCUGUAGCGGGUCUGAGAGGAUGAUCCGCCACACUGGGACUGAGACACGGCCCAGACUCCUACGGGAGGCAGCAGUGGGGAAUUUUGGACAAUGGGGGCAACCCUGAUCCAGCCAUGCCGCGUGAGUGAAGAAGGCCU